UUUAAAAUCGCUAGGAAAAAAAACUUUAAAACUUUUGCAAAUAUUAGCGAUUAAAACUUAUUUUGGAUAAUUUACAGCUGGCUGGACCAGAAACGAGUCGAAGCUCAAGUCGAGAGAGAUAAGCAUCAAUGGGAACUCUCUAGUCAAAGUCAAUAAACAAACACAAAAAUGCUUCACCAUAACGUUCUUGUUUCCUAUCAUCGAGUUCAUAGGCAUAAUCUCUGUCAUCGGCAUUCCCAAGAAUUAUAUUAGAACUUGAAAAAGAAUAUGCCGUCACAAAAAUUAAGAAAAAUUAUUUUAUGACAGAAAAUUAUUAGUAAAAAAUUUAAUGGACACAAGACAUAUAUUA
Stomoxys calcitrans (stable fly) is the source of this 349-nucleotide long non-coding RNA. RefSeq lists it as uncharacterized. Lineage: Eukaryota; Metazoa; Arthropoda; Insecta; Diptera; Muscidae. The record is from RefSeq and is a predicted model, not a curated record. The transcript has 2 exons.